RNAcentral lists this unclassified non-coding RNA (381 nucleotides) under uncultured bacterium. RNAcentral describes it as "contains 16S-23S intergenic spacer region". The record is from RNAcentral.
UCCGAGUUGACCCCGGCAGUCUCCUACGAGUCCCCGGCAUUACCCGCUGGCAACAUAGGACAAGGGUUGCGCUCGUUGCGGGACUUAACCCAACAUCUCACGACACGAGCUGACGACAACCAUGCGGCACCUGUGUGCAAGUCUCUUGCGAGAAGGAACCCAUCUCUGGGAACCGUCCUGCCAUGUCAAGGGCUGGUAAGGUUCUGCGCGUUGCUUCGAAUUGAACCACAUGCUCCACCGCUUGUGCGGGCCCCCGUCAAUUCCUUUGAGUUUCAGCCUUGCGGCCGUACUCCCCAGGCGGGGUACUUACUGCGUUAGCGACGGCACCGAAGGGGUCGCUCCCCCCGACGCCUAGUACCCAUCGUUUACGGCGUGGACUGC